GACGAACGCUGGCGGCGUGCUUAACACAUGCAAGUCGAACGAUGAAGCUGGAGCUUGCUCCGGUGGAUUAGUGGCGAACGGGUGAGUAACACGUGAGCAAUCUGCCCUUGACUCUGGGAUAACUGCGGGAAACUGUAGCUAAUACCGGAUAUGAGGCUCGAAGGCAUCUUCGGGUCUGGAAAGAAUUUCGGUCAAGGAUGAGCUCGCGGCCUAUCAGCUUGUUGGUGAGGUAACGGCUCACCAAGGCGACGACGGGUAGCCGGCCUGAGAGGGUGACCGGCCACACUGGGACUGAGACACGGCCCAGACUCCUACGGGAGGCAGCAGUGGGGAAUAUUGCACAAUGGGCGAAAGCCUGAUGCAGCAACGCCGUGAGGGAUGAAGGCCUUCGGGUUGUAAACCUCUUUUAGCAGGGAAGAAGCGAAAGUGACGGUACCUGCAGAAAAAGCACCGGCUAACUACGUGCCAGCCGCCGCGGUAA
This 481-nucleotide ribosomal RNA is filed under the name uncultured bacterium. RNAcentral describes it as "partial 16S ribosomal RNA". It matches the Rfam family "Bacterial small subunit ribosomal RNA", at positions 28 to 523 of the family's 1533-position model. The record is from RNAcentral.